GACGAACGCUGGCGGCGUGCUUAACACAUGCAAGUCGAACGGUGAAGCGCCUUCCUUUUUGGUGGGUGUGGAUGAGUGGCGAACGGGUGAGUAACACGUGAGUAACCUGCCCCCUUCUUCUGGAUAACCGCAUGAAAGUGUGGCUAAUACGGGAUAUUCUGGGUCUGUCGCAUGAUGGGUCUGGGAAAGAUUUUGUUUCGGUGGGGGAUGGGCUCGCGGCCUAUCAGCUUGUUGGUGGGGUGAUGGCCUACCAAGGCGGUGACGGGUAGCCGGCCUGAGAGGGUGGACGGUCACACCGGGACUGAGACACGGCCCAGACUCCUACGGGAGGCAGCAGUGGGGAAUAUUGCACAAUGGGCGCAAGCCUGAUGCAGCGACGCCGCGUGAGGGAUGGAGGCCUUCGGGUUGUGAACCUCUUUCGCCAGUGAAGCAGGCCUGCCUCGUUUGUGGGUGGGUUGACGGUAGCUGGAUAAGAAGCGCCGGCUAACUACGUG
This 494-nucleotide ribosomal RNA is filed under the name uncultured bacterium. Its description in RNAcentral is "partial 16S ribosomal RNA". It matches the Rfam family "Bacterial small subunit ribosomal RNA", at positions 28 to 507 of the family's 1533-position model. The record is from RNAcentral.